UACGGAGGGUGCAAGCAUUAAUCGGAUUUAUUGGGCGUAAAGGGCGCGUAGGCGGAGAUAUUAGUCAGAUGUGAAAUCCUGGGGCUCAACCUCAGAACUGCAUUUGAAACUGUAUCUCUAGAGGGUAGGCGGAGAAAACGGAAUUCCACAAGUAGCGGUGAAAUGCGUAGAUAUGUGGAAGAACACCGGUGGCGAAGGCGGUUUUCUAGCUUAUUCCUGACGCUGAGGCGCGAAAGCAAGGGGAUCAAACAGG
RNAcentral lists this ribosomal RNA (253 nucleotides) under uncultured bacterium. RNAcentral describes it as "partial 16S ribosomal RNA". It matches the Rfam family "Bacterial small subunit ribosomal RNA", at positions 524 to 776 of the family's 1533-position model. The record is from RNAcentral.